This is a non-coding RNA of Ixodes scapularis (black-legged tick), 67 nucleotides long. The record is from Rfam. NCBI's taxonomy places the organism in Eukaryota, Metazoa, Arthropoda, Arachnida, Ixodida, Ixodidae.
GCAGUUAAGGCGAUGGACUAGAAAUCCAUUGGGGUCUCCCGCACAGGUUUGAAUCCUGUCGACUGCU